AACGAACGCUGGCGGCGUGGAUAAGACAUGCAAGUCGAGCGGGACACUUCGGGUAGCAAUAUUCGGAGUGUUCAGCGGCGCAAGGGUGCGUAACACGUGGGUAAUCUGCCGUGAAGCCUGGAAUAACUCGCUGAAAGGCGAGCUAAUACCGGAUGUGAAGUUUGGAAGGCAUCUUUUGGACUUCAAAGCCGGGGUCGCAAGACCUGGCGCUUGAAGAGGAGCCCGCGCCGAUUAGCUAGUUGGUGAGGUAACGGCUCACCAAGGCUCCGAUCGGUAUCCGGCCUGAGAGGGCGGACGGACACACUGGAACUGAGACACGGUCCAGACUCCUACGGGAGGCAGCAGUGGGGAAUUGUUCGCAAUGGGCGCAAGCCUGACGACGCAACGCCGCGUGGAGGAUGAAGACCUGGUCGUAAC
RNAcentral lists this ribosomal RNA (417 nucleotides) under uncultured bacterium. RNAcentral describes it as "bacterial SSU rRNA". It matches the Rfam family "Bacterial small subunit ribosomal RNA", at positions 29 to 429 of the family's 1533-position model. The record is from RNAcentral.